RNAcentral lists this ribosomal RNA (99 nucleotides) under uncultured bacterium. Its description in RNAcentral is "partial 16S ribosomal RNA". It matches the Rfam family "Bacterial small subunit ribosomal RNA", at positions 392 to 508 of the family's 1533-position model. The record is from RNAcentral.
CCAUGCCGCGUGAAUGAUGAAGGUCUUAGGAUUGUAAAAUUCUUUCACCGGGGAAGAUAAUGACGGUACCCGGAGAAGAAGCCCCGGCUAACUUCGUGC